AUGGAACAACUGACCAGUGACGACUGUCAGCAGGAGGAUGAGCUCAACCUUGAGCUCACCCUCCGUACCACGGCCGCGGCGGAGCCCGACGUCGGCUACUUCCUCUGCGUCUACUGCGAACGUAAGUUCCGCAGCUCUCAGGCCCUCGGCGGCCACCAGAACGCGCAUAAGCACGAACGUAGCGUCGCCGAGCGUCAGCGGCUGAUCCCUGCCACAACGCGCGCGCACGCCGUGCUCGUGGGCGCGCCUGCUGCGGCGCAGGACGAGAGGCAGCCCGGGUACCACCGUGGGGGCGGCGGCGACUUCAUGUCUGCGGCUGGGAAAGCGAGGAAGACUGCUGCUGGAAAGACGCACACGCACGGCAGGAGCUCGUCGGAGUACGGCUACGGCGCCGACGAUGUGGACUUGUCUCUCAGGCUAUGA
This 423-nucleotide ribosomal RNA is filed under the name Triticum aestivum (bread wheat). RNAcentral describes it as "partial small subunit ribosomal RNA". Lineage: Eukaryota; Viridiplantae; Streptophyta; Magnoliopsida; Poales; Poaceae. The record is from RNAcentral.